UUUAAUAGAACAGUUUUUUGUUAAACAACACCUGCAGAUAUUAGCAUUCAUUUUUAUUUAUUAUUGACAAUGCGGAUUAAUUAAUUGCAAUUCCAAACGAAUAUUAUUCAACACUAUUUACUAUAAUCGUUAUGAAUUUAGAUAGUAUGGGCAAUUAUACAUAUUUAAACGAUGUGUACUACAUAUUAAAUUCCAAUUACUUUUUUUUGUUUAUAAACAGUGCUACUUCAUGUAUGAUAGCUUGAUCUCUGCGACAUAAAAUAUUAUAAUAAAAUAUGUCAAACUGACAUUCCUAGGGUUGUAGUAGCUAUCGAAGUUCCUAGAUGCUAAUGUAACAUAUAAUUGGGUUUAAUUUAAUUACAAACCUUACUAAAUCACGACGUUCAAAACUGUUUUCUUCAUUCUCAUUGGCAUUAUGCCAUCAAGAAACUAAAAAUAAUAACAAAAGAUAACAAAACUCAACAAAUGGGGUUGGCCGGUUAAAGCUUUUCUCAGAUGUCGCCAGCGUACAGCAGCAUUAAGGCAUUAUGUAAACUACACUGAAGAAAUCAAGCAUGGCCAAUGAGCUAUAUGAAAGCCGGCAUUUACUAACGGCCAGGUCUUCUGUUGUUGGUGAUUAUACUUAUGUGAAAGGACAUUGCAGGAAAACAAUGAGGAACCUGCAGUAUGAAGUUAAUAUCAAACUUCAUAAGGAUGGGAAUCCUGUAGAAUCCCAAAUGUGAAUGUCCUGCGGGAAGUGGUGUGAAUGCCGUUUGUAAGCAUGUUGUUGUUCUCUUACUAGGAAUUGAGAAUAUGGUACAUGAAAAGUUUAUACUUCUGAAGUGUGCACACAAAAAUUACAACAAUUCCAUAUACCAAAAUAAAAUUUACACUGGUACCCAGUCCACGCAGAAAAAUGAGUAAGAAAAAGAAAGUAAUAUUUGAGCCUUAUCCUCUGAAAACUCUGAACAAAGUAAGUUAUAAUACAUUACUCAGAAAUUUAAUAAUUGGUUUUCCUAAUUCACACAUGCCUUUAAAACAACUUUAUGAACCAGCAAACCCAUGCGCACUAACUAAUGACCAUGACCACACAUCUGUUCAUCCUGAACAACAGCUAUUGAAAAAUCUAAAAUUGCUAGAAAUAACUCCAGAAGAAAUCAACGAAAUCCAAAUUUGACUAUUGAGGGCUCCCACUAGCAUGAGUACAGAAAAAAAGGGUGCGUGUACUUAUGUACGCGCGUAAGAAGUUAUACUUUAUUUUUAUUAAAUUUAUUUCUUUUUUUUAAAUUUUAAAUAAAUAAUAAUAAAUAUUUAACGUUAAUAAUUUAAUAAUAUUUAGUAUGAAUUAUAUUAAAUAAUAAUUUUGUCAUUUAUAUUACUCAAAAAUGAAUGCUAAUAACACUUUUUUUACGAGUGUACAUGCGCGAAAGUUCACCUGCGGCUAUAUUCAGACUCGCCAAGUUACGUCGGUCGUAUUGUAAUGAGAGAUUUAGUGGGCAACUUAAUUCUGUUAAUUUUGUGUCACGGUGCGCGCGCAUCGUAAAAUUUCACUCUCAUAAAAUUUUCAUAACGCGCUUAAAGAAGUAUAACUCCAAAAACCGCAUCACAGCCAGCCAUUACCACACAAUAUGCCAUUUAAGAAAUGCAACAAUGGUGAAAUACGCAAGUGAAUUGUUAAAUAAAGAACAUUUCACUUCUAGGGCAACGACUCAUGGCUUACAAAAUGAAAAAAUAUAUGAUUUGCUAUAUAUGAUAAUAUAUGAUUUGCUAGUGGAGCCAUGUGGCAUUUUCAUUAGCCAAGAGCGCCCAUAUCUUGCUGCAUCUCCUGAUGGUGUGUUGGACGAAGAAACUAUAAUUGAAGUGAAAAGUCCAUACGCUAGCAGAAAACAUGAAAUUAAUAUAACAAUGGUGCCUUACUUAGAACAAUGCAACGGGAUAUUGUCCUUAAAAAAAAAAAAAAAAACCUGCCCAUAUUAUUAUCAAAUCCAAGGGCAGUUAUACUGCUCAGGCAAAACAUACUGCAACUUGGUCAUUUACACCUACAAGGACAUCAAAGUGAUUUAUAUUGAAAAAGACAAUAAAUUUAUAAAUAAUAUGUUAAAUAAAUUAGAUAUAUUUUAUGAAAAUAUUUUCAAAGAAGCAUUGUAUGAAAAAUCUCUGUAUUAUAACUAUAGACACUUGUCGAAUUAAAAAAUCAGUAAUAUUUUUAAGCUAUUGCAUAGAUUUUAUUGCGGGCCUUGAGAGCGGAAUCGUGAAAUUCCGUAACGAAAAAACUUUUCACUCCUCACUACGCCUACUAUGUAGCUCGCGUUCAACACAUUCACACGUUGCGCUUGUGUAGUGUUUAAAGUAAGAAGUCGAAGCACCGAUUUAUGUACUACCAAAAUAUGUAAUAUAAUUUCGUAAGUAACAGAACGAUAGCGCGAUUCAGCUUUUGCGUCAAGCGCCAUCUAUCGGCGACAAACGGAAAUGUAAACGGAAUUAUAUGACAUUACAAUGCGUUGGGCGUGCCAUUUUCUAUCGCUUAGUCGAAGAAUUUUAUAACUACUCCUACUACUCAUUCAGUGAUUGGAGUGGCAUUAAAAAUAAACCAACUAAGCCGUUGAUUCGCGCGAAUGAGAGUUAGAACUAGCAUCCAAAAGCGUGUCUUUAUCCCAUGUAGCGCCCUCUAGUGAGUGCGCGGCAAAAAUGCAAUUCUCACAAUGUAGCAGAUUCAUUGAAAGUUAGCCCACUAAAUUUCUCGCCGGAUCUUAUUUUAUUGUUGUUUUAAUAUUAAAUUAUUAUUCUCGAUUUAUAAUUGCAUAAGUUGAUAAAAAAUGCUAUGCAAUAGCUUUACCGCGGCAGUCUCCGAGUGCCAUACGUCUUUUUUUUGUUUUUAUUGACAAACUCCUUCUCGAAAAUUACAUAACAUUACACAUGAGUCGACUAUUAUCAAAGCCGGCAAUGUGAUUUUUGGACAAUUAUUGGUAAAUCAGAAAAACGAAUUAUUGACUUUGUAUUCCAUUGGCAGUCACAAAACUCUUCUGAACGACAUCUUAGAUAAAUAACAGGUUAAGUCUUAACCUUUAUUUAAUGCAGGUUUUGAACCGUAUUCUUUGAAGGAGACGAUUAUAUUCAAAUCAAUCUGUAUUGACAUAUCAGUAACAUUUUUUUGUCCAAAUGCACAGAUUGCCACCUUUGAUAAUAGACGACUCACAUAUGAAAAAUAUUUUAGAUGGUAAAGGUACAUAAAAAUAAUUUAGUUCAUUUUUUAAUAUUAAAUAAGUUUUUGUUAGCCUUAUUAAUCGUUCUAUGUGAACCCUCUGACUAGCAAAUUUUUUAUCGAUCUUUAACUGAACACCUGGGAUUUGUGAUUUACCUUUUAAAAAAGAUUAGAGAAGAGAAGAAGAAGAUUAGAAGAAAGAGAGAUAGAAGACUAAUUCAAUAAUAAUAAUAAUAAUACAAAAACCAUGGGCCGAACGGUUCGAAUAAUGCCACACAAGAUUCAAGUUCAAAUAAAGCGUGAAAUCUUCCGCAUCGUAAAUGAAGCCGAGAUAAUGCUUUCAGAUGAAAAUCAUGGAAUUUUAUAGGUUCCCAUUUUCUGCAAACAUUUUUCAAAAUACAGCAACAUUGAUACCAACUUUCGCAGAAAACAGCUUAAGGACACCUCUUCAACCACGUUCCCUUGAUAAUAGACACUCUAAUCAGACAUUAUCUUUCGCACCUCAACCACUACCACCUCAUGUGGAUAAUAAUUAUUCUAAUCAGGCUUUAUAUUUUGUUCCUCAAACAACUUUAAACAGUUUCACAGAAAUUAACACAUUCAAGACAUCUCUCGCUGCAAACGAGACAGACGCUGCACCUAAAACAUUUUCAUACAUUCCAUUCAAAAUUUGCACGAAAAAGUCUACAGUCAACCUAUAUACUACAACAAAAAGCUAUGAGACAAGUUAUAUAUCUAACAGCUAUUCAUCUAUGGACCCACCAUUGCCUUACAUACCACAAUCUGUUUCCAGGCCACACUCUUCAGAUCCUGACACGAGUGAAUUCGAUUACUAGAAUCAUUAGAAUACAAGCAUUACAGAUAUGUUCUUGUUUUUAGUUUUUUUAAAUGUCACAAUAUAAAUACAUUGAAAUA
Bombyx mori (domestic silkworm) is the source of this 4096-nucleotide long non-coding RNA. RefSeq lists it as uncharacterized. The record is from RefSeq and is a predicted model, not a curated record. The transcript has 3 exons. Lineage: Eukaryota; Metazoa; Arthropoda; Insecta; Lepidoptera; Bombycidae.